GAUGAUUGAUAAUCAACAUUUUUAAUGUGCAAAGUUUGAUGGACUGGCUUAAAAUGUUUGGAAACUUAAGAGGCUUAAAAUAUAAAAUGCUACUAGUAUUUUCCAUUAUCAACUUUAUUAUGGUCUCAAAGAUUGAAAUAAUUACAAGUAAAUUUUAUUCAAAUCAAACAAUUUAAGAGGGCAAGAUCAUUAGUUUCACCUUUUCCAUUUUUGUUCAUCUUCAUCUUGCAUAUUUAAAGUUCGAAACAAUACUUG
RNAcentral lists this long non-coding RNA (255 nucleotides) under Durio zibethinus. Its description in RNAcentral is "long non-coding RNA (DZIB_LNC002187)". Lineage: Eukaryota; Viridiplantae; Streptophyta; Magnoliopsida; Malvales; Malvaceae. The record is from RNAcentral.